GUAGGGGGCGAGCGUUUGCUCGGAUUUACUGGGCGUAAAGAGCGCGUAGGCGGCCAGGUAAGUCCGGUGUGAAAUCCCUCGGCUCAACCGAGGACCCGCAUCGGAAACUACUUGGCUUGAGUCCAGGAGAGGAGGGUGGAAUUCCCGGUGUAUCGGUGAAAUGCGUAGAGAUCGGGAGGAACACCUGUGGCGAAGGCGGCCCUCUGGACUGGUACUGACGCUGAGGCGCGAAAGCUGGGGGAGCGAACGGGAUUAGAUACCCCGGUAGUCCCAGCCGUAAACGAUGGGCACUAGGUGUGGGAGGUAUUGACCCCCUUCCGUGCCCGCAGCUAACGCAUUAAGUGCCCCGCCUGGGGAGUACGGCCGCAAGGUUG
RNAcentral lists this ribosomal RNA (374 nucleotides) under uncultured organism. Its description in RNAcentral is "partial 16S ribosomal RNA". It matches the Rfam family "Bacterial small subunit ribosomal RNA", at positions 527 to 896 of the family's 1533-position model. The record is from RNAcentral.